RNAcentral lists this ribosomal RNA (702 nucleotides) under uncultured phototrophic eukaryote. RNAcentral describes it as "bacterial SSU rRNA". It matches the Rfam family "Bacterial small subunit ribosomal RNA", at positions 56 to 800 of the family's 1533-position model. The record is from RNAcentral.
UGCAGUCGUACGAGAGUUUUAAACUCAAGUGGCGGACGGGUGAGUAACACGUAAGAAUUUACCUUUAGGAGGGGGACAACAGACAGAAAUGACUGCUAAUACCCCAUAUGCUUUCGAGUGAAAUGGAUUUUUCCGCCUAGAGAGAAGCUUGCGGCUGAUUAGCUUGUUGGUAAGGUAAUGGCUUACCAAGGCGACGAUCAGUAUCUGGUUUGAGAGGAUGAUCAGACACACUGGAACUGAGACACGGUCCAGACUCCUACGGGAGGCAGCAGUGGGGAAUUUUCCGCAAUGGGCGAAAGCCUGACGGAGCAAUCUCGCGUGAGGGAUGACUGCCUAUGGGUUGUAAACCUCUUUUUUCAGGGAGGAAUAAAUGACGUGUACCUGAGGAAUAAGCAUCGGCUAACUCCGUGCCAGCAGCCGCGGUAAGACGGAGGAUGCAAGUGUUAUCCGGAAUCACUGGGCGUAAAGCGUCUGUAGGUGGUCAAAUAAGUCAACUGUUAAAUCUUGAGGCUCAACCUCAAAAUCGCAGUCGAAACUAUUAGACUAGAGUAUAGUAGGGGUAAAGGGAAUUUCCAGUGGAGCGGUGAAAUGCGUAGAGAUUGGAAAGAACACCGAUGGCGAAGGCACUUUACUGGGCUAUUACUAACACUCAGAGACGAAAGCUAGGGUAGCAAAUGGGAUUAGAUACCCUGGUAGUCCCCU